Molecule: long non-coding RNA, 782 nt
Filed under: Homo sapiens (human)
Lineage: Eukaryota; Metazoa; Chordata; Mammalia; Primates; Hominidae
Description: non-protein coding NAV2-AS2:2
Source: RNAcentral
AGAAAUCUUACAGGCAAAGGCUAUUCGACAUUUGGGAUUCCUAAGCUAAUCUUUUUAUUUUUGGAAGGGUGUCUUUCUGAGAAAGGCAGCCAGAGGCACAGCACCAACCUUUCUGACAGUGUGGUCUUCACACUGUUAGUUCUGACAAAGGGAGUCAAGGAGUCGUCCUUGGAGGAGGCGAUGAGGCCAGUGGAAGAAUUGUGGCUGGGGACCCCUCCACUGCUGAGGGAGAUGUCGAUGGACUCACAGCUGGUGUGGAGGCUGCUGACAGACUGAAAGCCCAGGCCAUCCUUGCUAACUGCGGAGGAGCUGCUGGCGUUGGUGCCCCAGGGCCAAGACAGCCCCGGCCUCUUACCAGUUCCUGGGGUCUUCAGUGCGCCUGCCGGGGCUGAAGGCUUCGUCCUUGGCAUGGUGAUGCCCACCUGAGCUGUCAUGCCUCGCCGCCAUGAGCCUGUCUGGGAGAUGACAGGAUUCUUCUUGCCCGACGUGCUUUUGUCGGACUCGUCAGACACAUCAGAAGGAUUCCGCCUCCACUUGGAACCUGGCUCCAUUUUUAUGCCGCUGUCUGAGCCUCCGUCUGAUUUCUUGACAUCAUCACCAGACCACAGGGAAUUCCUCUCCACCUGUGAGUGCUUCUCAGCAUCAGUCUGUGGACAGAGACUCUCUGAAUUAGUCCUUCCCCAGUCCCAGGCUGGGAAGCCCCUCACUCCAAAGGCAAAAAUGCCAAAACACUGGAGUAGUUAAGGGAAAAAUAAGCAUUACUUUAAAGAUGUUUGGACUUU